RNAcentral lists this long non-coding RNA (1032 nucleotides) under Rhipicephalus microplus (southern cattle tick). RNAcentral's name for it is "uncharacterized LOC119167508, transcript variant X4". Lineage: Eukaryota; Metazoa; Arthropoda; Arachnida; Ixodida; Ixodidae. The record is from RNAcentral.
UAGUGCAUGUGAACAUUGUUGCGUCUCUUAAUUGCUCAGUAUCGCGCCUGUACACUCGCGAUUCUCCAAGAUGUUUGGUUUCGCGAUGAUAAUUAAAAAUUAAUAGUCCCGGUAAGUGCAUGUAAGUACAUCAAUCCGAAGGAUACAGGCAAUUUUGAUCCUCACAAGUGGUACCGGGUGUUCUGGAAGGAUAACACACACUGCGGCCACUAUCACGCUCAAGUGAUUAAGCUUUACGCCACCGAGGAUGAUGCAAGGAAUGCAACAGAAAAACGACCAUCCAUUCCGCAGACCCGAUUGCGACUCCUCCGAUGGCUGCAGUUCAAAUGAAGUGGACAAUGAGUCGUUUAAAAACAAAGAACCUUGUCCUUUGCGGGUGUUGCAGCACAAGCCUCAAAAACAGAAGCAACUUGCACCUUUGCCACCACUAUGUGCUGCUACGCUGGAACCACCACAGUGACCACGGACAGCCCUGAAGUAGCCCACUCAAGUGUGAGGGAGGCUGCACCGCUUAUCAAUUAUGUGCCCACUGACAGAGAGGUAUCAUAAACCUCUGGUAUGCUUUGUCUUGAAGAUAUAUUGUUUUGCUUUUUAAUGAGAAAAUGUGCAUUGACAAACUAAUGUGUGCACAUCAUCUUGGACUUGUUUUAUAGGUGCAUCGGAGCAAAGGAAUUGCCGUUCCCAAGAGGUUGUACAAUCACCCCAUGGGCUUGAAAAGACAGACCCAUUUUGUUUGUGAGGCGGCCGUUAACCAUUUUUCAUACAGCAGGCCAAGUCGGUAGAAGUGUUACUGGUGCAGCCUCCAAUCGGUCUAAAGGGGAGGCGAAAUCUCCCUAGGAGAAAGAAACAUAUGCUGUAUUUUCAGAUCAUGCAGAUUUCUUCAACCAUUUUUUUGAAGCACACCGUUCUGAUUGGAAAGGUUGAACAAAUGAAGAAGCUCCUCAAGAAAGCUUUGGCAAACAAAAUUAUUGACUUUAUGAAAUCAAAAGAUUAACCAAGGAAUGGCACAUCAAAUAAAAUAUUUUGUUUGAU